UACGGAGGAUGCGAGCGUUAUCCGGAUUUAUUGGGUUUAAAGGGUGCGCAGGCGGCGUGUCAAGUCAGCGGUAAAAUGUCGGGGCUCAACCCCGGCCGGCCGUUGAAACUGGCGUGCUCGAGUUGGAGAGAAGUAUGCGGGAUUCGUGGUGUAGCGGUGAAAUGCAUAGAUAUCACGAAGAACCCCGAUUGCGAAGGCAGCAUACCGGCUCCACACUGACGCUGAGGCACGAAAGCGUGGGUAUCGAACAGG
This 252-nucleotide ribosomal RNA is filed under the name uncultured bacterium. Its description in RNAcentral is "partial 16S ribosomal RNA". It matches the Rfam family "Bacterial small subunit ribosomal RNA", at positions 524 to 776 of the family's 1533-position model. The record is from RNAcentral.